Molecule: non-coding RNA, 165 nt
Filed under: Holosporales bacterium
Lineage: Bacteria; Pseudomonadati; Pseudomonadota; Alphaproteobacteria; Holosporales
Description: 6S RNA
Rfam family: 6S / SsrS RNA
About the family: E. coli 6S RNA was the first non coding RNA to be sequenced, but its function was unknown until recently. It consists of 184 nucleotides that fold into an extended hairpin structure with a large single-stranded internal bulge. The 6S RNA specifically associates with RNA polymerase holoenzyme containing the sigma70 specificity factor.
Source: RNAcentral
AUAGGGCUGUUGCUUCGCGUUGGUUAGUAAGACUUUCCCGGGGCCGAUACUUUUUCUCUAGGGAGCUGUCCCUGAGAGGGUCCGUGGAUCCUUUCAUAUGGCACCCACCUGCACAUGCAGGUCGCUGAGGAAUCCUACAGAACCAACGGUUGUGACGGCUCUAUA